RNAcentral lists this small RNA (116 nucleotides) under Staphylococcus argenteus. RNAcentral's name for it is "RNA Staph. aureus F". It matches the Rfam family "RNA Staph. aureus F". Lineage: Bacteria; Bacillati; Bacillota; Bacilli; Caryophanales; Staphylococcaceae. The record is from RNAcentral.
UUGUUUAGCGUCGUGUAUUCAGACACGACGUUUUUUUGUGCGCUUUUUUAAUUGGUGUAUAUAAAAUUGUAUAAAAAUGUGUAAAAUAUGCAAUUUAUAUUCAUUUUUAAUUACUA